CGGGUUGUAAAGCACUUUCAGUAGGGAGGAAGGUAGUGUAGUUAACACCUGCAUUACUUUGACGUUACCUACAGAAGAAGCACCGGCUAACUCCGUGCCAGCAGCCGCGGUAAUACGGAGGGUGCGAGCGUUAAUCGGAAUUACUGGGCGUAAAGCGCAUGCAGGCGGCCUGUUAAGUCAGAUGUGAAAGACCCGGGGCGUUAACCUCGGAAUUGCAUUUGUAAACUGGCAGGCUAGAGUCUUGUAGAGGGGGGUAGGAAUUUCAGGUGUAGCGGUGAAAUGCGUAGAGAUCUGAAGGAAUACCAGUGGCGAAGGCGGCCCCCUCGGACAAAGACUGACGCUCAGAUGCGAAAGCGUGGGGAGCAAACAGGAUUAGAUACCCCUGGUAG
RNAcentral lists this ribosomal RNA (389 nucleotides) under uncultured bacterium. Its description in RNAcentral is "bacterial SSU rRNA". It matches the Rfam family "Bacterial small subunit ribosomal RNA", at positions 419 to 793 of the family's 1533-position model. The record is from RNAcentral.